Molecule: ribosomal RNA, 60 nt
Filed under: uncultured organism
Description: partial 16S ribosomal RNA
Source: RNAcentral
UGGUCUUGACAUAGUAAGAACUUUCCAGAGAUGGAUUGGUGCCUUCGGGAACUUACAUAC